UACGAAGGGGGCGAGCGUUGUUCGGAUUUACUGGGCGUAAAGGGCGCGUAGGCGGCCUUGUCAGUCAGGCGUGAAAGCCCCGGGCUCAACCUGGGAACGGCGCUUGGGACGGCGAGGCUGGAGUUCGGGAGAGGAGAGUGGAAUUCCCAGUGUAGAGGUGAAAUUCGUAGAUAUUGGGAGGAACACCAGUGGCGAAGGCGACUACCUGGCCUGUUCUUGACGCUGAGGCGCGAAAGCUAGGGGAGCAAACGGG
RNAcentral lists this ribosomal RNA (253 nucleotides) under uncultured bacterium. RNAcentral describes it as "partial 16S ribosomal RNA". It matches the Rfam family "Bacterial small subunit ribosomal RNA", at positions 524 to 776 of the family's 1533-position model. The record is from RNAcentral.